GAUUUGUAUGAAAGGAGAGAAGGUUGAUACUCCCCUUGACAUGGAUGGAAGAGGUCCUAGUGGCCUUCAACUCACAUAUGGUUAAGACACUGCCACUACUUCAUGACAUCCCUAAUCACUUUUUUUU
Scleropages formosus (Asian bonytongue) is the source of this 127-nucleotide small nuclear RNA. NCBI's taxonomy places the organism in Eukaryota, Metazoa, Chordata, Actinopteri, Osteoglossiformes, Osteoglossidae. The record is from Ensembl.